GACGAACGCUGGCGGCGUGCUUAACACAUGCAAGUCGAACGAAGUGUCGAACGCGUGAGUAAUACGUGGGUAACCUGCCCUCCUUUUUGGGAUAAGCUUUGGAAACGGGGUCUAAUACCGACUAACGGGGGAUGGGCUCGCGGCCUAUCAGCUUGUUGGUGGGGUGAUUGCCUACCAAGGCGGUGACGGGUAGCCGGCCUGAGAAGGUGACCGGCAACAGUGAGACUGUGAUACGGCCCAGACGAGGAAGGGAGGCAGCAGUGGGGGAUAUUGCAGAAAGGGUGAAAGACUGAUGCAGCGACGACGCAGGGGGGAUGAGGGCUUUCGGGUUGUAAUCCUGUGUCGCUAGCGAAAGGGUAGGUGGAGAAGAAGCGCCGGCUAACUACGUGCCAGCAGCCGCGGUAAUAC
Molecule: ribosomal RNA, 408 nt
Filed under: uncultured bacterium
Lineage: Bacteria
Description: partial 16S ribosomal RNA
Rfam family: Bacterial small subunit ribosomal RNA
Source: RNAcentral